Triticum dicoccoides is the source of this 2682-nucleotide long non-coding RNA. RefSeq lists it as uncharacterized. NCBI's taxonomy places the organism in Eukaryota, Viridiplantae, Streptophyta, Magnoliopsida, Poales, Poaceae. The transcript is spliced from 5 exons. The record is from RefSeq and is a predicted model, not a curated record.
AUUGGUGCCCGAGCCCAGCUGAGCCUGAUAUCUUCACCUUCCAUUCUGCGCUCGGGAUCCAUGAAAAGAGGUCUGCCGUGUCAGGCGCGGAUCGCAGAAAAUAGGCAGCGAGGCGAAAUACGGUAGGAAACAGUGCGCUAGCAGUCGGCCAGGGGCGUGCGUUUUUGACGGAGCAGGCGCGGGCGUGAACUGGUCCGUGGACCAGGACGUUAGUGUUUUUGCGUUUCAUGGAUCAGAUAAGGGGAACAGGCCGGUGCCGAGAAACUGAGCCGUCCGUCUCACACGUUUGCGACACACGUGCGUCUCGGUCGUUCUGAAAAACCCUUGCCGCCCAACCACCCCCGGCCGCCAGACCACGCUGCGACGACCGGCAAGAGUAUUUCUUGCGGCGGCGAUAGCUGGUCGACGGCAACCGCUACGUGAGCGACAUGGAAGAUGUUGGAUUGGACUUCUUCCUUGAUGCCAUUGACAGGUUCCGCUUGCAGGAAUUCGCGGACAGCCACGAACACCCAGAUCCGGUUCCUCUGAUUUGUUGGCGAGCGGCAGAGUAGGAGCGACGGCCCCUGCUGAUUCCAAUGCUUGCUCCGGUUGUGGUCAGCAGAUCCGCGGCGACGGCAGCGAAGCUGCGCGUGCUGGGGUCCGGCGAUGACAGGAGUCAUCCCCGACGAGGUCCACAGUCCACCGACAGAGUCAAUCCCCAGGCCCCUCUGGUUGCACAAAAAGGCUGAGGCUCGGUAGCACCCUCCUGAUAGAACCCCUUGCGCUUCCCGGAUGAGUGUGCUGGUGUGAUUCGGAAAUUUGUGGAGAAACCAAUAAAAGUGUGAUCAAGCCUGAGCUGGGAUCAAACUUUGACUCCCUCGGCAAGGCGUACAAUUUCUACAAUUGUACUUGUGGGAAGUGGGAUUCGGGAUAAGAUAUUAUAAAAGCAGAUUGAACGCGGAGAGGGAGAAAUCAAUGUAGGAAAUUAUGUGUGAAUGCUCACGAAAGCCUAAAGUCGGGAACAACCGGUCUUGCAGAUGUGAGUGUCCGACGCUGAUCAGGCUCCUGAGUGUCAGACAUCAGUUGAUUCUUAACAGAGCAUCGUGAGAAACAUAACCACUCAAUGUCUCUCAUGAUGGGAGAGAAAGUGCAUUAGCCAUCAGAAAGUUGUGAACCACAUGCUCACUGUAGACGAGAUUGAAAAUGCCUGGACUAUAUUGAUGGAAAAGUAUAAUCUGAAACAGCACCCAUACAUGAUAGAGUUAUAUGAAAUCAGGACCAAGUGGGUGAAGCCUUAUAUCAAGGGGGUUCUCUGUGCAAGAAUGACAAGCACACAACACAACAAGAGUGCUAAUAAUAUGCUGAAAACGUAUAUGCCUCGUGCCAUUGCAGUGCACAUGUUUGUGAGCCAGUACAUAUGGCUCCAGUUUGACCGUGAACGCGAUGAGAGCUACAAGGAGAAAAGAACAAGGAUUUUAAGUCAGUGUCUUCCCUUCUCUGUCAUUUGAUCAGGUAUUUCAGAGUGCUCUAACAAUUGUCUCCUUGUGCAGAGUGGAGCAAGGAUUGUAAGUCAGUGUCUUCCCUUCUGUCAUUUGAUCAGGUGUUUCAGAGUGCCCUAACAAUUGUCCCCUUGUGCAGAGUGUAGCCGUGCGGCGUAUAAACCCUGUGAUCGAGAGGCAUGCAAUCAAGGUUUAUACUCGAGACAUGUUCUAGUAGUUUGGUCAGUUCCUUGUUGAGAGAACUGCAUAUAGUGUGACUGAGAUUGACUAUAAGGGUAAGAAGUAUGUGACGACAUAUAACCAUGCGACCAACCGGGAGAAGUGGAGUAGCGUAGUCUACAAGGUGAUGGACGUAUUGAAUUUGGCUGAAAUACCGGAUAAGCACAUUGUUAAGUGUUGGAAAAAAGACGCGGGGGAUAUACUACCCAGACAUCUGGUCCAUUACCAGAAGAAUGAGGCAGUGAACCAUUCAUUCACUUGUAGGCACUCCACAGUGACCUACAAGCGAUUGAUAUUGUUAGAAUGAGUGAUGAGAGUGCGGAAGAGUUUGAUCGCAUGUUGAGGAAAUGAAAGCAGUAAUGCUGAGUUGUGCUCCUUUGGCUGAGAAGAGGGAUGAGCCCGAUUUUGAAGACCAGCAGGCAACAUAAUCUGCCUGAAGGAAUGCCGGUAAUGGCUAGGUUGCCGCAAUAGGAGAUGGUAGUCCUACUGAAAAGCAUAGUUUGGGAUUCUCCGGUGGUGUAAAUGCAUGGCAGGGACUAGCGCCAGCGGCAAAGGCAGAGGGGAGCUGGUAGGCUGACAAACAGCUGUUACAAGGCUCCUUGCGAGGGUUUGAGCGAGCGGACGGGAUUCUGCAGGAUCUGCCGAAGGCAAGGGAACAAGAGAACAACUUGCCCUGAACGCGGGGAUGCCCCGAAGCAGCCUCACAAACUCGGGAAGUGCAAGAAUUGUGGAGUUGAGGAGCACAUGCGUAACAGUUGCACAAGGCCUCUGCGCGACAAUUGGUGGAAAGAAUAAGAUGAGGUUUAUAUUUGUAUGAUUCCAUUAGCAUUUGAGGAUUUUCUAGCAGUGCUUGUGUAUGCAUGGCUUAGAAAGCAUAUGUGAGAGUGCAAGUAAAUGAUGAUACACUGUUGCAUUUAGUGGGUGAGUGUUUCAAUUUGAAAAUUGAACUUGGGUUGCACUGAAUGCAGUUUCAAUAUUUUUUUUU